RNAcentral lists this ribosomal RNA (390 nucleotides) under uncultured eukaryote. RNAcentral describes it as "SSU rRNA". It matches the Rfam family "Eukaryotic small subunit ribosomal RNA", at positions 618 to 1019 of the family's 1831-position model. The record is from RNAcentral.
GUUAAAAAGCUCGUAGUUGGAUUUCUGGGAGGGUGCCAAUGUCCGUCAACGUGCGUGUGCAGCGGCGCCCUUCCAUCCUUCUGUUAACGCCUCUGGGCAUUUAUUUGCUGGUGGCGGGCUCAGAUAUUUUACCUUGAGAAAAUUAGAGUGUUUCAGGCAGGCUAGGCCGGAAUACAUUAGCAUGGAAUAACAGAAUAGGACUAUGGUCUCUUUGUUGGUUUGAGGGACUAUGGUAAUGAUUAAUAGGGAUAGUUGGGGGCAUUAGUAUUUAAUUGUCAGAGGUGGAAUUCUCAGAUUUGUUAAAGACUAACUUAUGCGAAAGCAUUUGCCAAGGAUGUUUUCAUUAAUCAAGAACGAAAGUUAGGGGAUCAAAGACGAUCAGAUACCGUC